RNAcentral lists this non-coding RNA (105 nucleotides) under bovine gut metagenome. RNAcentral's name for it is "Glycine riboswitch". It matches the Rfam family "Glycine riboswitch aptamer", at positions 9 to 86 of the family's 94-position model. Rfam says of the family: This family represents the bacterial glycine riboswitch. Glycine riboswitches usually consist of two metabolite-binding aptamers domains with similar structures in tandem. The record is from RNAcentral.
UUGCUCUGGAGAAUCCUUAAAACAAAAGUUUAAAAGGUGCCGAAGGUGUAAGGCUGAUGCAUUUUGUAGUUGCACGGUCGAUCUCUCAGGUAAAAGGACGGAGAA